GUCGUAACCGUUGUGCACGUCGCCUCUUAGAUCGAUUCCUCCGAGGCGGUUUCCUAAACCGAAGGUCGUGGGUUCGAAUCCCGCCGGGGACGCCA
Molecule: transfer RNA, 95 nt
Filed under: Phycisphaerales bacterium
Lineage: Bacteria; Pseudomonadati; Planctomycetota; Phycisphaerae; Phycisphaerales
Description: tRNA-Ser
Source: RNAcentral